RNAcentral lists this long non-coding RNA (1170 nucleotides) under Macaca fascicularis (crab-eating macaque). Its description in RNAcentral is "lncRNA (ENSMFAG00000054685.1)". Lineage: Eukaryota; Metazoa; Chordata; Mammalia; Primates; Cercopithecidae. The record is from RNAcentral.
GGCUAAAAUGAGGAAGUCUCUGAAUUUGAAGAUCUUAUCUGUUUGGUGUGUUUGCCUCUAUUAUGGAAAUACAUAUCUGGAAAUGCAGGUAUAACUCUUUGAGAGUGUCCACUUUCUGAGUAGAGUUUUAUGCUUCCUUCUUUUCACCCAGCUAUGGGAUACAGCUGCUCACAACGUGGAGCCCACACUCUCAAUGUCCCCCUCACCUUCAGGCUAUGUUCACACUGAUCUCUCUGUGAAGAUUAUUACUCUCCUGCCCUUGUGUACAUGUAAAAUUCCUUCCCAUUCUUUUAGACUAGUUAAAAUGCUAUCUCUCCUUAAAGACGUCCCUAUACAUCCCAGUUUAAAUUAACCAUUCUCUCUUCUUCCUUCCUUCUACAAGCUUAUACCUUUUUAAAACAGGUAUUCUAAUCUGCCUUAUCCUAGAGUUAUAGCAUGCAGAGGUGGGGAAGGGGCUUGCUUGACCUUCUCAGUAUGCUGGGAACCCCACCUGGGCAGAGUAUUUAUCAUAUUUUUUUUCUUGGUACUCCACUGUGCCAGAGAUUGCACCUGCACAAGUGUGUAUGUGACGAUGUAUUUAGAUAUGGACUUUGAUGUUUGUACAUGGAUAUUUGGAUUAUAAAAACAAAUAUAUAAGAUGUUUGUGUAUAUCAGGGAAUAAUUUCUUUGGCACUUCUAGGCCAGGCUGUACUCUAAAAUGAAAGCAAAAGAUAAGGUCAAUUAGCUAGAUGACUAUAUUAGAUGCGUAUUUCUACAAGUCUUAAGUACACUCACAGAGCUAUUUGAUGUUAGAAUAAUAAUUUUUAAAUAACUUAGUAGAAAUAAAAACGGGAGAAAAUCAGUUUCUAUUUUUUUGGCUAUGAGCCAGCUCACCAUAUAACUUUUGGUCCUCUUUUUACCCAAACUGUAGGAUGAUGGUGAUAAAACUACAUGAUUUUUAGUAACCUAUCCAGUUCUACAUGCCUAUAAUUCAGUAAUUCUAAUAAUCAGAGCAAUUCUUCCCUCCAUAGGAACAUUCUGUUCCCCACUGGUAAAGUCAUGGCAUUUAGAAAAUUUUGGAUAAAUAGUAAUAUCAAUAAGAAAUUGGUAAAGAACCAAUUAAGCCACCUGAGGAAGAAAAGAGUAUUCUAUUUGAAUGAAGGAAGCCAGAAAUUCUGGAAGGAUGUGAUG